RNAcentral lists this ribosomal RNA (261 nucleotides) under uncultured prokaryote. RNAcentral's name for it is "partial 16S ribosomal RNA". It matches the Rfam family "Bacterial small subunit ribosomal RNA", at positions 524 to 784 of the family's 1533-position model. The record is from RNAcentral.
UACGUAGGUGGCAAGCGUUGUCCGGAUUUAUUGGGCGUAAAGCGAGCGCAGGCGGUUCCUUAAGUCUGAUGUGAAAGCCCACGGCUCAACCGUGGAAGGUCAUUGGAAACUGGGGAACUUGAGUGCAGAAGAGGAGAGUGGAAUUCCAUGUGUAGCGGUGAAAUGUGUAGAUAUAUGGAGGAACACCAGUGGCGAAGGCGACUCUCUGGUCUGUAACUGACGCUGAGGCUCGAAAGCGUGGGGAGCAAACAGGAUUAGAUA